UACAGAGGGGGCAAGCGUUAUUCGGAAUUAUUGGGCGUAAAGGGCGCGUAGGCGGCCAUUCAAGUGACGGGUGAAAGCCCUCGGCUUAACCGAGGAACUGCCUGUCAGACUGGAUGGCUUGAGACCGGGAGAGGUGAGUGGAAUUCCCAGUGUAGCGGUGAAAUGCGUAGAUAUCGAGAGGAACACCUGCGGCGAAGGCGGGUUGCUGGGCCGACACUGACGCUGAUGCGCGAAAGCCAGGGGAGCGAACGGG
This 253-nucleotide ribosomal RNA is filed under the name uncultured bacterium. Its description in RNAcentral is "partial 16S ribosomal RNA". It matches the Rfam family "Bacterial small subunit ribosomal RNA", at positions 524 to 776 of the family's 1533-position model. The record is from RNAcentral.